AAAUUAGCCAAAGCAAUUCCAAUAAUAUCACGGUUUGUUGCUAACUCGAGCCCCGGCAAAGAAUUGCUAUUGAUAUCAGAAGCCUUUGCUCUAGGGUCAUCGACACACUUCCCAUUAACAAUACCAAACAUACUAUGACCAGAGAUAACCUUGAAUAGCUCCUCGGGGUUUCCAGUUUGAGGCCAUAUCAGAAAAUCUUCCCCAACUCGGGAUCCCACAAUGGUCAGAUUAAGUCUUCGACAGACUUCAAUAUAAAUGACACUAAGCAAAAUUGCACUACAAUAUCCAGAGCUUAAUACUGAAUGCAGGUAUGCACACGUUGAAUCCACAAGUACAGGUGACCUUUUGAAACCCCUUAACUUGAAAAGCACCAUAUUCACGGCAUCUAAAACUUCAACUAAAUCGCAUCCUAUUUCUCUUGAAACUAGCUCUGCCUCCACUUCUCGCGCAAUUACAUCCAACUCAACCAUCCAUUCUUUCAUAUUUCUUCCAGCAAGAGGCAUGGCCUCCACGCAAGUCCAAUCUAUGGCAUGAGAAGCCAAUGAAGCAGAUCUCCUCUCACUUUGGAGUGAAU
This 574-nucleotide unclassified non-coding RNA is filed under the name Hevea brasiliensis (rubber tree). The record is from RNAcentral. Lineage: Eukaryota; Viridiplantae; Streptophyta; Magnoliopsida; Malpighiales; Euphorbiaceae.